Small nucleolar RNA from Dipodomys ordii (Ord's kangaroo rat), 131 nucleotides. The record is from Ensembl. NCBI's taxonomy places the organism in Eukaryota, Metazoa, Chordata, Mammalia, Rodentia, Heteromyidae.
CCCGCCACUGCACCUGCUCAAUUCUCAAUUGGCUGGUCAAUCCAGUGGUGAGCAAAUAAUAAACCCCAGCUGUUAGGAAACAGGGUUGUUCUUCAUGUGGAUGAUUCUGUGCUGAAAGCAUGGGGACAGUC